Daphnia pulex (common water flea) is the source of this 4433-nucleotide RNA transcript. RefSeq lists it as uncharacterized. The record is from RefSeq and is a predicted model, not a curated record. The transcript has 18 exons. NCBI's taxonomy places the organism in Eukaryota, Metazoa, Arthropoda, Branchiopoda, Diplostraca, Daphniidae.
GUAUCAGACUCCAGACAUUUAAUUAUUUGAUUAUAGUGACUUAGUAAAAAAAACCCAUUCACACAGAACAGAGAUUUCUUUGUUUUUUUCUCUUUAGUUUCUCGUUUGUCUAAUCUAUCCACUCCCACGGGUGAAGACCGUUCCUCGAGGCGUGGUUGGAAAUUUUUGAAAAUUAGAAACAGAUUUCUUCAGAUCACAUUGACACAAGAAGGGAGGCUGUGUGGAUUUUUCCACCUGCAUUAAUUUUCAAUCUUCCCAUGCCGAAAGGGAGUGAGUGCCACUGUACAGUGUACAAUGAACAUAUAUAAUUCUGUGCACCUUUACCAGUCCGAUGUUGCAUCACUUAGCUCAAGUACUACAAAAAUGGUGAACUUUGUUCAUCAAUGGUGUGAACCAGCAAUCCGUUCACACAAGUUCAAUCCUUUUAAGGAGAAUGUGAUGUCCUCCAUACCUGAUAAAGUUAACUAAGUGUCAGCCACACCUAACCAUGUGAACUGCACGAUACAGUGUUAUGUCCAAAGUAGCAACAAAUCCAAUCUCCAAUCUACAUGGGGAUCAAUAUGGGUCACAGUUCCACAUCUGCCAACCGGAUAUCGCUGCUGAAAGAAAAUGAGUUUACUGUCAGUAAGAAGCCGCUGAUAUUUUUCCAUUUAAUUGCUUUCUAUUGGCGCCUCGAGUCGACCCGAGUCAUCACCAGACGAACAACAGUUUGCCUCCCGUUGAAAAGAACCCAGUCUUAUCAGAACUAAAAGCUCUAUUUUGUUUCUUCGCCUCACCCAUGGCUUACACGAUUAGCUCGACGUUGUUUUUCUCCGGUUCGACAACCAUUGGAGGAGGUGUGUGGAAUGCAAUCUCAUGACCUCAGCAGCUCAGCGAAUGAACAGGACACGAUGUCGGAUGUCUUUCGGCAGGUUCAAGAUUUGUUGAUUGUAUUGGACGAGGUCGGCUUGAAGAUGGUUGUGCAAAUGGGCGUGGCUUUCAAGUUCCCUCUGAUUGGAGUCGCGAUCUCGAAUUACGCGCCAUGAUUAGGAUCCAACUCUUCCUUGUCGAAUUCCCAAGGGUUUCGCUCUUUUGGACGACGGUGCCCUUCGACCGUGCAAGGAUCAAAACAAACUCACGUUCAAACCUUCGCAUAAUAGAGUUACGACCGACAUGGACCCAAAUAUUGGUUCAGUUUCCAGAAAGAAAUUGAAUAUGGUGAUUGGUGUGAAGCAACUUAUGUCGUGGAGUAUCGUAAGACGUGGUACUUCUCGAGCAGCUCCAUCAAUUCCAACAGUUGAUUGCAGCUUUGGCCACGACGAAAUUUGAAAAAUCCCUUUUGUCAAAAGCAAAAUACAAACUUGAGCCAAGAUAUUGAGGCAGGACGCUCCCACAACAUAGUUGACAAAAGAACUGAAGCAACAGCAAAUUCUAUCUGGAAUUUUGCUAGAGAUGUCUACAGACGGUAAAAAAACGUUGAGGAAGAAGAAGAAACCUAACUUAAAGUAGAGCUUGAAUAACCAUCUACACCAAAAGCCAACAGAACUUAUUUUCUACGGUCCCCAAGACGGCAUUAUUAUGUCGUGCCCUUGCUGACGACUUAUGGUUCCGGUGGAGUCAUCAUGAAGGAAAGCAGUGGUAUCCUUUUCCAAAUCAAAAUCUCCUUCCUCAACCGCCAUCAUUUUCAAGUUCAGCAUUGGAGGCCAUUCCUCAAACCAGACCCAAAUUUGUCUUUAGGGUCAAUCGAGUUCAACCGUAUCAAAAAGUAGAGGCACACGAAAGACUUUUGAAUCUUGUGGUAAACCGAAAUCUAUGAACAUGAAGGAACUCAAAGCGUGUACUACGUGCUACCCUAACCCAUCGACUGAAGAACACCAACAGGUGUUUAUCGUCUAGCAUUUUCUGGCGGAAACAAGUUGACAUAGUUGGUGAUUUCGCAGCAGUUAGGACAACUGGGAUUUUUAUGGGCUGGCGUAUUCUUAUCACCGAAGAUGGAAAAGCAUGUUUUAGGUUGUUAACUUGAUGGUCAAUGUCUUCUGGAACUCUGAGAUGAAGAUUUUGCGCCCGCCCCACCUGCCCAGCUCCUGGUGAAGCCCGACCAGCCCCAACUCAAGCACAGGCCCAAGCACAACCUGCUGCUGCCAACAACGGAACGAGAAUCAAAACUAUUUUUGUAAAAAAGUGGAACACUCGAUGGACAGAAAACAAGUCAAAUUGUUAUACUGGAACAACACUGCAGUGGAAAACUUCAACUUAGCUCAGUCAAUAGGCAACAGGUUCUUAUCCGGUCUGUUGGAAGUCCCGCAUCCGCUGGAUCAGUUACCGCAGUCGAAUCGGACGAUGCACCAACCGUAUUUAUUGGCUAUCUUUUGCCGUCAGUCGUAAGAUGACCUACAAUUUUACAUCGGGUGGAUGCCGUGAAGAUUUCGCAGGCACAAGGCUUCCCUCAUGAACGGACGACCACAUCAGACCACAUCCGGCAAAUCGACUGCGUCCGUCCACUCUCAACGUGAUCUCCCUCAAAUUAAUACUUUGUGCAGUUGCAUACGUUCGUCAGUCGUGUCGUGGAAUCGUGACGCGGCAUUUCGAUCAAAGACGACUCUUAGUUUAGUGCAAGUGCCGAGUUAAUUUGCGAAUCUGCAGUAGAAGCGGUUAUGUUAACAUAUGUCAACAGUUCAGGAGACAUUUCUAUUAUUUUGCUAUUCACAAAGAUACAUGGAAUGCAACCGGAUAAAAAUGUGUUCCUACACUGGAUAAGAGGCAUAUUUAUUAAUAUAGUUCAGGCUGGCAACGAUUAUAUAUUCAAUUGGAUCUCAUCAGCAUGACACCUCAGGGAAAUUCAAGUUAGGUUAAUUCCAUCAAAGAAACCUAGAUGACCUGAGAUGAUUCAUUAAAUUUGAAACUGUAUCGAAUGGGCUGUACAAGGUUCAAAGACAGUUGAGAAUGAAUGUUGCUUGGAGUAAUGGACAAAUGGAGUUGAGCAACAACACUCGCCGGCCACAACAUUCGCCGGCAGAGCGACCAGGAAUCAAAAGUGGCAGCUUGUGAGUGUGAAUGUCUUCACUAGGGCGUCCUUCCCGUUUUUCACACCUGAUGUCAACUUUUAGUUUCUCUGUGGAAGGAGCUUCAGAAGACGCCCGGCGGUAUUUCUCAGGCUUCAAGGAUCAAGUACUGACGCCGAUUAUCACUUCCAGGUUUGGAGUUUGGAGCUUUAGCUGUUUGUUGUGCGUUGGUUGUUUCUUGGUGACGACGGGAUGAUCAUAAUUUGAUUAUUGCAGCCUGAAACUGCUGUACAUUUUGCAUAAAGGUCGUCUCUUUCUACCUGAACACCUGCUGCACACUUCAGAACAAUAAAGAUUAACAGUCAGAUGAAGUCUGAGCUUCUUCAUUGCAGUCUUUGGUGCAGUGUUACCUGAAGUGCAAAAGAGCUCUUUGAUUGAUUCAAGUCUUAUGGUAUUGAUCAUGUUUGAAGCGAUGCUGGACCCAAAUGAUGUAGAAGUAAAAGAGCCUGACAAAUGCAGACAAGGAAAAGGAUAUUGUAAAUGUGGGAAUUUUAAAAUCUCUUGCCACCAGGUGGUGAACUGGUGAUCGACAAUUAAAAGGAGCCACAACCCACAAUGCAGAGUAGGAUGACCAGAUGAUGAAGCUGUUCAACCUUUUAUUUGCUUGAAAGACGUUGAACGUCGUACGUAACGGUCGUACGUACGACCGUGCGAGAUAAUUGUGCACGUACGUUGGUACGUACCUACAUUACGACUAAUCAGUCUGAAAAUGAUUGUCAUUUUCUGCAAAGGUGAAUCUUGUCUUUUGAAAAGACAACACAAUCUUGUCUUUAUUAACAUUGAUCUUCAGGAAGGUAUCAUUAGUUUUACUAAGGUAAUAAUGUUUGUUAAAUCAGUCUAUUUCUUAAACAGAUUCCAUUAAUUGUUUGGGUUAUUAAAUCACUUAACUGCUCUUGAUUCAGUAAAGUUAUAAUUCCACAGAUGUUUUACAAAAUUUUGGCAAAAGAUCUGUCAACCAGGUUAAGUUGAAGCUGUUUGCUGUGUUAUGCAGAACAUUUUUACUUGCCACCUUGCUGCUUGCUUACUGCAUAAAAUGGGAAGUUGCCAUUUUUGCACAUUUACAACAGCUUUUUUAGUAGUUUUUGCUUUAUAUCUGAUUUGUUUUAUAGGUUUCCCACUAUUUGUUGAUGUUUGAGGUAUGACUGAAAAUGCCGGUGGUGUUGCAGUCCAAUGUGCUGAUGCUUGCCUGGGUUACGUUGGAUUAGGCAAAAAUUUAUUGAGGGAUGACCUGUUCCCUGGUAUAAGGAGUACUUAAACAUAAUUAAAUUUACGAUGCCGGCCAUGUUUUCACUUUUGUUACUCAUCAUAGGUGAGCAAAAUGUUUGCAAAAUGUAUUAACCAGUUUCUUCUCUUUUAGACUGAAAAAGAUUUCAAAUAAACAAAUUAUUCAUA